Molecule: transfer RNA, 64 nt
Filed under: Piscicola geometra
Lineage: Eukaryota; Metazoa; Annelida; Clitellata; Hirudinida; Piscicolidae
Description: tRNA-Asn
Rfam family: tRNA
About the family: Transfer RNA (tRNA) molecules are approximately 80 nucleotides in length. Their secondary structure includes four short double-helical elements and three loops (D, anti-codon, and T loops).
Source: RNAcentral
UUAAGUGAAAGCAUAAAUUAAUGCAUCUAACUGUUAAUUAGAAGAAUGUUUAAAACUCACUUAA